Molecule: transfer RNA, 82 nt
Filed under: Peptoclostridium acidaminophilum DSM 3953
Lineage: Bacteria; Bacillati; Bacillota; Clostridia; Peptostreptococcales; Peptoclostridiaceae
Rfam family: tRNA
About the family: Transfer RNA (tRNA) molecules are approximately 80 nucleotides in length. Their secondary structure includes four short double-helical elements and three loops (D, anti-codon, and T loops).
Source: Rfam by way of RNAcentral
GGAGGGAUUCCCGAGUGGCUAAAGGGGGCAGACUGUAAAUCUGUUGGCACCGCCUUCGCUGGUUCGAAUCCAGCUCCCUCCA